RNAcentral lists this ribosomal RNA (796 nucleotides) under uncultured organism. Its description in RNAcentral is "SSU rRNA". It matches the Rfam family "Bacterial small subunit ribosomal RNA", at positions 665 to 1475 of the family's 1533-position model. The record is from RNAcentral.
AAUUCGUGGUGUAGCGGUGAAAUGCUUAGAUAUCACGAAGAACUCCGAUUGCGAAGGCAGCCUGCUAAGCUGCAACUGACAUUGAGGCUCGAAAGUGUGGGUAUCAAACAGGAUUAGAUACCCUGGUAGUCCACACGGUAAACGAUGAAUACUCGCUGUUUGCGAUAUACUGCAAGCGGCCAAGCGAAAGCGUUAAGUAUUCCACCUGGGGAGUACGCCGGCAACGGUGAAACUCAAAGGAAUUGACGGGGGCCCGCACAAGCGGAGGAACAUGUGGUUUAAUUCGAUGAUACGCGAGGAACCUUACCCGGGCUUAAAUUGCAGAUGAAUUACGGUGAAAGCCGUAAGCCGCAAGGCAUCUGUGAAGGUGCUGCAUGGUUGUCGUCAGCUCGUGCCGUGAGGUGUCGGCUUAAGUGCCAUAACGAGCGCAACCCUUGUUGUCAGUUACUAACAGGUUCCGCUGAGGACUCUGACAAGACUGCCAUCGUAAGAUGUGAGGAAGGUGGGGAUGACGUCAAAUCAGCACGGCCCUUACGUCCGGGGCUACACACGUGUUACAAUGGGGGGUACAGAGGGCCGCUACCACGCGAGUGGAUGCCAAUCCCCAAAACCUCUCUCAGUUCGGACUGGAGUCUGCAACCCGACUCCACGAAGCUGGAUUCGCUAGUAAUCGCGCAUCAGCCACGGCGCGGUGAAUACGUUCCCGGGCCUUGUACACACCGCCCGUCAAGCCAUGGGAGCCGGGGGUACCUGAAGUGCGUAACCGCGAGGAGCGCCCUAGGGUAAAACUGGUGAC